AUUGAACGCUGGCGGCAGGCCUAACACAUGCAAGUCGAGCGGAAACGAGUUAACUGAACCUUCGGGGGACGUUAACGGCGUCGAGCGGCGGACGGGUGAGUAAUGCCUAGGAAAUUGCCCUGAUGUGGGGGAUAACCAUUGGAAACGAUGGCUAAUACCGCAUGAUGCCUACGGGCCAAAGAGGGGGACCUUCGGGCCUCUCGCGUCAGGAUAUGCCUAGGUGGGAUUAGCUAGUUGGUGAGGUAAGGGCUCACCAAGGCGACGAUCCCUAGCUGGUCUGAGAGGAUGAUCAGCCACACUGGAACUGAGACACGGUCCAGACUCCUACGGGAGGCAGCAGUGGGGAAUAUUGCACAAUGGGCGCAAGCCUGAUGCAGCCAUGCCGCGUGUGUGAAGAAGGCCUUCGGGUUGUAAAGCACUUUCAGUCGUGAGGAAGGUAGUGUAGUUAAUAGCUGCAUUAUUUGACGUUAGCGACAGAAGAAGCACCGGCUAACUCCGUGCCAGCAGCCGCGGUAAUACGGAGGGUGCGAGCGUUAAUCGGAAUUACUGGGCGUAAAGCGCAUGCAGGUGGUUUGUUAAGUCAGAUGUGAAAGCCCGGGGCUCAACCUCGGAAUAGCAUUUGAAACUGGCAGACUAGAGUACUGUAGAGGGGGGUAGAAUUUCAGGUGUAGCGGUGAAAUGCGUAGAGAUCUGAAGGAAUACCGGUGGCGAAGGCGGCCCCCUGGACAGAUACUGACACUCAGAUGCGAAAGCGUGGGGAGCAAACAGGAUUAGAUACCCUGGUAGUCCACGCCGUAAACGAUGUCUACUUGGAGGUUGUGGCCUUGAGCCGUGGCUUUCGGAGCUAACGCGUUAAGUAGACCGCCUGGGGAGUACGGUCGCAAGAUUAAAACUCAAAUGAAUUGACGGGGGCCCGCACAAGCGGUGGAGCAUGUGGUUUAAUUCGAUGCAACGCGAAGAACCUUACCUACUCUUGACAUCCAGAGAACUUUCCAGAGAUGGAUUGGUGCCUUCGGGAACUCUGAGACAGGUGCUGCAUGGCUGUCGUCAGCUCGUGUUGUGAAAUGUUGGGUUAAGUCCCGCAACGAGCGCAACCCUUAUCCUUGUUUGCCAGCGAGUAAUGUCGGGAACUCCAGGGAGACUGCCGGUGAUAAACCGGAGGAAGGUGGGGACGACGUCAAGUCAUCAUGGCCCUUACGAGUAGGGCUACACACGUGCUACAAUGGCGCAUACAGAGGGCGGCCAACUUGCGAAAGUGAGCGAAUCCCAAAAAGUGCGUCGUAGUCCGGAUUGGAGUCUGCAACUCGACUCCAUGAAGUCGGAAUCGCUAGUAAUCGUGGAUCAGAAUGCCACGGUGAAUACGUUCCCGGGCCUUGUACACACCGCCCGUCACACCAUGGGAGUGGGCUGCAAAAGAAGUAGGUAGUUUAACCUUCGGGGGGACGCUUACCACUUUGUGGUUCAUGACUGG
RNAcentral lists this ribosomal RNA (1471 nucleotides) under Vibrio natriegens. RNAcentral describes it as "bacterial SSU rRNA". It matches the Rfam family "Bacterial small subunit ribosomal RNA". The record is from RNAcentral. RNAcentral also lists the same sequence under 1 other name. Lineage: Bacteria; Pseudomonadati; Pseudomonadota; Gammaproteobacteria; Vibrionales; Vibrionaceae.